GAGGGGAGUGAAAAAGAACCUGAAACCGUGUACGUACAAGCAGUGGGAGCCCCACCACUAAGCCAGUGGUGAACUCCACAUCCGCAUCCUUUGCUGAGGAUACGGUUAACGGAGCGAAAGCGACGUUCAACCGCAAAACAAGCAGAGGGGGCUUAGUGGUGGGGUGACUGCGUACCUUUUGUAUAAUGGGUCAGCGACUUAUAUUCUGUAGCAAGGUUAACCGUAUAGGGGAGCCGGAGGGAAACCGAGUCUUAAUUGGGCGUUAAGUUGCAGGGUAUAGACCCGAAACCCGGUGAUCUAGCCAUGGGCAGGUUGAAGGUUGGGUAACACUAACUGGAGGACCGAACCGACUAAUGUUGAAAAAUUAGCGGAUGACCUGUGGCUGGGGGUGAAAGGCCAAUCAAACCGGGAGAUAGCUGGUUCUCCCCGAAAGCUAUUUAGGUAGCGCCUCGUGAAUUCAUCUCCGGGGGUAGAGCACUGUUUCGGCUAGGGGGCCAUCCCGGCUUACCAACCCGAUGCAAACUGCGAAUACCGGAGAAUGUUAUCACGGGAGACACACGGCGGGUGCUAACGUCCGUCGUGAAGAGGGAAACAACCCAGACCGCCAGCUAAGGUCCCAAAGUCAUGGUUAAGUGGGAAACGAUGUGGGAAGGCCCAGACAGCCAGGAUGUUGGCUUAGAAGCAGCCAUCAUUUAAAGAAAGCGUAAUAGCUCACUGGUCGAGUCGGCCUGCGCGGAAGAUGUAACGGGGCUAAACCAUGCACCGAAGCUGCGGCAGCGAACGUAUCACCCAAGACAACUUUACGGAGUUGACGAUUGACGGAGCGAAGCGACGUCAAAGCGUUCAUUAAAGUCGAGUUGGCUUAGGGAUACGUUCGUUGGGUAGGGGAGCGUUCUGUAAGCCUGUGAAGGUGUGUCGUGAGGCAUGCUGGAGGUAUCAGAAGUGCGAAUGCUGACAUAAGUAACGAUAAAGCGGGUGAAAAGCCCGCUCGCCGGAAGACCAAGGGUUCCUGUCCAACGUUAAUCGGGGCAGGGUGAGUCGACCCCUAAGGCGAGGCCGAAAGGCGUAGUCGAUGGGAAACGGGUUAAUAUUCCCGUACUUGGUGUUACUGCGAAGGGGGGACGGAGAAGGCUAUGUUGGCCGGGCGACGGUUGUCCCGGUUUAAGCGUGUAGGUGUGUGUUCCAGGUAAAUCCGGUUCACUUUAACACUGAGGCGUGACGACGAGGCACUACGGUGCUGAAGCAACAAAUGCCCUGCUUCCAGGAAAAGCCUCUAAGCAUCAGGUAACACGAAAUCGUACCCCAAACCGACACAGGUGGUCAGGUAGAGAAUACCAAGGCGCUUGAGAGAACUCGGGUGAAGGAACUAGGCAAAAUGGUGCCGUAACUUCGGGAGAAGGCACGCUGACACGUAGGUGAAGUGAUUUACUCAUGGAGCUGAAGUCAGUCGAAGAUACCAGCUGGCUGCAACUGUUUAUUAAAAACACAGCACUGUGCAAACACGAAAGUGGACGUAUACGGUGUGACGCCUGCCCGGUGCCGGAAGGUUAAUUGAUGGGGUCAGCGCAAGCGAAGCUCCUGAUCGAAGCCCCGGUAAACGGCGGCCGUAACUAUAACGGUCCUAAGGUAGCGAAAUUCCUUGUCGGGUAAGUUCCGACCUGCACGAAUGGCGUAAUGAUGGCCAGGCUGUCUCCACCCGAGACUCAGUGAAAUUGAACUCGCUGUGAAGAUGCAGUGUACCCGCGGCAAGACGGAAAGACCCCGUGAACCUUUACUAUAGCUUGACACUGAACAUUGAGCCUUGAUGUGUAGGAUAGGUGGGAGGCUUUGAAGUGUGGACGCCAGUCUGCAUGGAGCCGACCUUGAAAUACCACCCUUUAAUGUUUGAUGUUCUAACGUGGACCCGUAAUCCGGGUUGCGGACAGUGUCUGGUGGGUAGUUUGACUGGGGCGGUCUCCUCCUAAAGAGUAACGGAGGAGCACGAAGGUUGGCUAAUCCUGGUCGGACAUCAGGAGGUUAGUGCAAUGGCAUAAGCCAGCUUGACUGCGAGCGUGACGGCGCGAGCAGGUGCGAAAGCAGGUCAUAGUGAUCCGGUGGUUCUGAAUGGAAGGGCCAUCGCUCAACGGAUAAAAGGUACUCCGGGGAUAACAGGCUGAUACCGCCCAAGAGUUCAUAUCGACGGCGGUGUUUGGCACCUCGAUGUCGGCUCAUCACAUCCUGGGGCUGAAGUAGGUCCCAAGGGUAUGGCUGUUCGCCAUUUAAAGUGGUACGCGAGCUGGGUUUAGAACGUCGUGAGACAGUUCGGUCCCUAUCUGCCGUGGGCGCUGGAGAACUGAGGGGGGCUGCUCCUAGUACGAGAGGACCGGAGUGGACGCAUCACUGGUGUUCGGGUUGUCAUGCCAAUGGCACUGCCCGGUAGCUAAAUGCGGAAGAGAUAAGUGCUGAAAGCAUCUAAGCACGAAACUUGCCCCGA
This 2473-nucleotide ribosomal RNA is filed under the name Salmonella enterica subsp. enterica serovar Typhimurium. RNAcentral's name for it is "partial 23S ribosomal RNA". It matches the Rfam family "Bacterial large subunit ribosomal RNA", at positions 531 to 2802 of the family's 2925-position model. The record is from RNAcentral. Lineage: Bacteria; Pseudomonadati; Pseudomonadota; Gammaproteobacteria; Enterobacterales; Enterobacteriaceae.